AGGUAUGUAGGGAGUAUUAUUGUUGUCUAAACAAAAAGAGGUGAUGUUUCUUUUACAACAAAGACCGUUUCCGUCCCGGCUUAUAUUGAAAGCUUAAAAAAGCGGUUUACAUUUGGGAUACCAGUUUGAGCGACAUUUAUUAUCCAACAAAGCCAAAGAACCAUCUAAACGCUACUGGCUCAAUGCUGUUCUAACAACCACCAAACUACAUGGACUUAACGAAUGCGAAGACUCCAGUAGACAACAACGCCAAAACGGGCCCAGCCUAAACAUCAGAACGCUGCUCAAACGUCUUCUCGCCAUCCUGCAAAGGCGCCUUCCUCUCUCGACUUGAGAUAUCGCUCACUUCCUCCAUCUCUUCUUCAGCAAAUCUUUCACCAUGUCCUCCCCAGCAGAGGUGCCUAUUGACGAGUCAACAUAUUUUUGGCUAGUGGCGGAGCCCGUGAAAAUCCACACCUAGAGCCACUAUCUAAGUGCCUAAGUAAUUCUUAAUGAACCCACAUUAGAGAUAGGUGAAAAAGUUUUUGGGUAGAAAACUAAAACAAGGCCUUAGAUAUACUCUAAAUAUAUAAUAAAAGUAAUAUAUCUAAAAAAGUCAAGAUAUCUUAUAAUUUGGAAUAGAUGGAGUACUUUAUAAGAAAUCUCACUUUUAUGCACAUUUGUAGAAUAAACAUGGUAAAAGUAUGAUAUGGUACAAAAUAUGUUAUCUGUACCUAAUAAUUAUGGACAACUAUUGAUUCAUCCAUAUCUAUCAUAUCAUCCACGUUAGCAAGUAAACAUCAACAAAUAUUUAAAAGUUUGUUUAUAAAUAGGGUUUAGAAGAGCAGAGAAGGGUUUAAGACCCGUACAAAACACAAGGUCCUUGUAUCAUCUUUUUUUUUGAAGAAACAGGAGGGGCAAAGCCCCUACUGAAAUAUAUUUAACCAAAAGAAAGAGAAGCGUUUAGAACCCAUACAACAGAGAAGUUCCUUGAUUCAUCUUUGAAAAAUUGGUAAUUGGUUCAACUCUGACAGACAGGACAACAUUUUAAGAAAGAUGCUCAAUAAAGGCCCCUUAUGCUCACAAACAUGCUAAAAACAAAAUUUAAGAAACAUGCUCAAUAAGCCCCCUUAGGCUCACAAAUAUGCCAAAACAAAAAUUAAAAAAACAUGCUCAAUAAGCCCCCUUAUGCUCACAAAUAUGCCAAAAACAAAAAAUACAUGCUAAAAACAAAAACUAAAAAACAUGCUCAAUAAGCCCCGUUAUGCUCACAAAUAUGCCAAAAACAAAAAAAAUAGCCCAUGCAGGUCUCGAACCUGCGACCUUAUAUUUAACCAAAAGAAAGAGAAGCGUUUAGAACCCAUACAACAGAGAAGUUCCUUGAUUCAUCUUUGAAAAAAUUGGUAAUUGGUUCAACUCUGACAGACAGGACAACAUUUUAAGAAAGAUGCUCAAUAAAGGCCCCGUAUGCUCACAAACAUGCUAAAAACAAAAACUAAGAAACAUGCUCAAUAAGGCCCAUAUGCUCACAAAUAUGCCAAAAACAAAAAAUACAUGCUAAAAACAAAAACUGAAAAACAUGCUCAAUAAGCCCCGUUAUGCUCACAAAUAUGACAAAAACAAAAAAAUGGCCCAUGCAGGUCUCGAACCUGCGACCUUGGCGUUAUUAGCACCACGCUCUAACCAACUGAGCUAAUGGGCC
RNAcentral lists this long non-coding RNA (1681 nucleotides) under Sorghum bicolor (sorghum). Its description in RNAcentral is "long non-coding RNA (SBIC_LNC005815)". The record is from RNAcentral. Lineage: Eukaryota; Viridiplantae; Streptophyta; Magnoliopsida; Poales; Poaceae.